Molecule: ribosomal RNA, 500 nt
Filed under: uncultured bacterium
Lineage: Bacteria
Description: partial 16S ribosomal RNA
Rfam family: Bacterial small subunit ribosomal RNA
Source: RNAcentral
AUUGAACGCUGGCGGCAGGCCUAACACAUGCAAGUCGAGCGGUAGAGAGAAGCUUGCUUCUCUUGACAGCGGCGGACGGGUGAGUAAUGCCUAGGAAUCUGCCUGGUAGUGGGGGAUAACGUUCGGAAACGGACGCUAAUACCGCAUACGUCCUACGGGAGAAAGCAGGGGACCUUCGGGCCUUGCGCUAUCAGAUGAGCCUAGGUCGGAUUAGCUAGUUGGUGAGGUAAUGGCUCACCAAGGCGACGAUCCGUAACUGGUCUGAGAGGAUGAUCAGACACACUGGAACUGAGACACGGUCCAGACUCCUACGGGAGGCAGCAGUGGGGAAUAUUGGACAAUGGGCGAAAGCCUGAUCCAGCCAUGCCGCGUGUGUGAAGAAGGUCUUCGGAUUGUAAAGCACUUUAAGUUGGGAGGAAGGGCUGUAGAUUAAUACUCUGCAAUUUUGACGUUACCGACAGAAUAAGCACCGGCUAACUCUGUGCCAGCCGCCGCCGUAA